AGGAUGGGUCUGCGGCCGAUUAGGUAGUUGUUGGGUUAACGGCCCAACAAGCCUGUAAUCGGUACGGGUUGUGGAAGCAAGAGCCCGGAGAUGGAUUCUGAGACACGAAUCCAGGCCCUACGGGGCGCAGCAGGCGCGAAAACUUUACAAUGCAGGCAACUGUGAUAAGGGAACCCCGAGUGCCCGUAUGGACGGGCUGUUCAGGUGCUUAAAAACCACCUGGAGAAAGGGCCGGGCAAG
Molecule: ribosomal RNA, 240 nt
Filed under: uncultured Methanofollis sp.
Lineage: Archaea; Methanobacteriati; Methanobacteriota; Methanomicrobia; Methanomicrobiales; Methanomicrobiaceae
Description: partial 16S ribosomal RNA
Rfam family: Archaeal small subunit ribosomal RNA
Source: RNAcentral